GGGGAAUAUUGCACAAUGGGCGCAAGCCUGUAUGCAGCGACGCCGCGUGAGGGAUGACGGCCUUCGGGUUGUAAACCUCUUUCAGUAGGGAAGAAGCGAAAGUGACGGUACCUGCAGAAGAAGCACCGGCUAACUACGUGCCAGCAGCCGCGGUAAUACGUAGGGUGCGAGCGUUAUCCGGAAUUAUUGGGCGUAAAGAGCUCGUAGGCGGUUUGUCGCGUCUGUCGUGAAAGUCCGGGGCUUAACCCCGGAUCUGCGGUGGGUACGGGCAGACUAGAGUGCAGUAGGGGAGACUGGAAUUCCUGGUGUAGCGGUGGAAUGCGCAGAUAUCAGGAGGAACACCGAUGGCGAAGGCAGGUCUCUGGGCUGUAACUGACGCUGAGGAGCGAAAGCAUGGGGAGCGAACAGGAUUAGAUACCUGGUAGUCCAUGCCCGUAAACGUUGGGCACUARGUGUGGGGACCAUUCCACGGUUUCCGCGCCGCAGCUAACGCAUUAAGUGCCCCGCCUGGGGAGUACGCC
This 521-nucleotide ribosomal RNA is filed under the name Micrococcus sp. 14III/A01/022. RNAcentral's name for it is "bacterial SSU rRNA". It matches the Rfam family "Bacterial small subunit ribosomal RNA", at positions 356 to 886 of the family's 1533-position model. Lineage: Bacteria; Bacillati; Actinomycetota; Actinomycetes; Micrococcales; Micrococcaceae. The record is from RNAcentral.